GAGGUUUAUUCAGUGAGUCCUCUGAGAAUCUGUCCUUGUCCAGAGUGACUGGUUGAUGUGUCUUAUCCUGAAUCUGCAGGCGCCCGCAGUGUGGGAAUCAGGCCAACAGCCCCUUGCGGUGUUUUCAUGAGCUGAUAUUUUUAAAAGUUGAAGGGCGCUGCUCUUCUUUCUCAAUUGUAGAACCAGGACAGGAAUAACCCAACGAUGAGGAUCACGUGAGGAUGAACAUGAACAUGGUGCAAAACAAGACCCGAAGGCUGGUAUGAAUGACGUCAGGAGAGAGGACAGGACACCCGUGGGGGCCAUGAGACCCUGGGCAUUUGCUGCCAGCAGCCAGCAGAGGUAAAUCACUCGCAGCCACGGAAACUCCGAGGGGCAACGUCCAGUCUCAUUCGGAGGAUGGAAAGUAAAAUAACGGCUUCCUGAAAGAAGAUGGAAAGACAAGACUUGAAAACAGAUGCCCUUAGAUAAGGAAACACACAAGAGAAAUGAACUUUUCUGGAACGUCCCCACGGAUGUCUGGCACUGUGUUCAGCACUCUGUGAUGAAGAUCAUUGAAUGAGGCUUGGUCAGUGCUCGUACCAGUCCUUUGAGAUGGUAUUUUCUGCAUUUGACAGAUGAGGAAAUGAGGCUCAGAGAGAUUAAGUACAUUGUCCAAGGUCCCCCAACUGAUGGUAGUAGACCCUAGAUAUAAUCCAAGUCUGUCUUCCUCUAAAAACCAUCCUUUGCCCAUAGGAUCACUCUCUAAACAGAGACUCUUAUAAAAGGGAGGAAGUGGGGGGAACCUUAGAGACCAGGCCU
RNAcentral lists this long non-coding RNA (801 nucleotides) under Felis catus (domestic cat). Its description in RNAcentral is "lncRNA (ENSFCAG00000041817.2)". Lineage: Eukaryota; Metazoa; Chordata; Mammalia; Carnivora; Felidae. The record is from RNAcentral.